CCUACGGGUGGCUGCAGUGGGGAAUAUUGCACAAUGGGGGAAACCCUGAUGCAGCGACGCCGCGUGAGUGAAGAAGUAAUUCGUUAUGUAAAGCUCUAUCAGCAGGGAAGAAAAUGACGGUACCUGAGUAAGGAGCCCCGGCUAACUACGUGCCAGCAGCCGCGGUAAUACGUAGGGGCAAGCGUUAACCGGGUUUAAUGGGGGGAAAGGGGGCGUUGACGGCAGUGCAAGUCUGGAGUGAAAGGCGGGGGCUCAACCCCCCGACUGCUCUGGAAACUGGACGGCUGGAGUGCAGGAGAGGUAAGUGGAAUUCCUAGUGUAGCGGUGAAAUGCGUAGAUAUUAGGAGGAACACCAGUGGCGAAGGCGGCUUACUGGACUGUAACUGACGUUGAGGCUCGAAAGCGUGGGGAGCAAACAGGAUUAGAUACCCGUGUAGUC
This 439-nucleotide ribosomal RNA is filed under the name uncultured bacterium. Its description in RNAcentral is "partial 16S ribosomal RNA". It matches the Rfam family "Bacterial small subunit ribosomal RNA", at positions 338 to 795 of the family's 1533-position model. The record is from RNAcentral.